GAUGAACGCUGGCGGCGUGCCUAAUACAUGCCAGUCGAGCGAACGGACGAGAAGCUUGCUUUUCUGAUGUUAGCGGCGGACGGGUGAGUAACACGUGGAUAACCUACCUAUAAGACUGGGAUAACUUCGGGAAACCGGAGCUAAUACCGGAUAAUAUUUUGAACCGCAUGGUUCAAAAGUGAAAGACGGUCUUGCUGUCACUUAUAGAUGGAUCCGCGCUGCAUUAGCUAGUUGGUAAGGUAACGGCUUACCAAGGCAACGAUGCAUAGCCGACCUGAGAGGGUGAUCGGCCACACUGGAACUGAGACACGGUCCAGACUCCUACGGGAGGCAGCAGUAGGGAAUCUUCCGCAAUGGGCGAAAGCCUGACGGAGCAACGCCGCGUGAGUGAUGAAGGUCUUCGGAUCGUAAAACUCUGUUAUUAGGGAAGAACAUAUGUGUAGGUAACUGUGCACAUCUUGACGGUACCUAAUCAGAAAGCCACGGCUAACUACGUG
This 497-nucleotide ribosomal RNA is filed under the name uncultured bacterium. Its description in RNAcentral is "partial 16S ribosomal RNA". It matches the Rfam family "Bacterial small subunit ribosomal RNA", at positions 28 to 507 of the family's 1533-position model. The record is from RNAcentral.